GGCGUGAUAGCCAAGAGGUAAGGCAGAGGUCUGCAACACCUUCACCGCCGGUUCAAAUCCGGCUCGCGCCU
Molecule: non-coding RNA, 71 nt
Organism: Clostridium sp. CAG:127
Lineage: Bacteria; Bacillati; Bacillota; Clostridia; Eubacteriales; Clostridiaceae
Source: Rfam